RNAcentral lists this transfer RNA (94 nucleotides) under Mesorhizobium tianshanense. RNAcentral's name for it is "tRNA-Ala". The record is from RNAcentral. Lineage: Bacteria; Pseudomonadati; Pseudomonadota; Alphaproteobacteria; Hyphomicrobiales; Phyllobacteriaceae.
GCCGCCUUGCGCCGCGCGGAUCAGGGCAAGCCCUUGCGCGCCGUCGGCGGCGAUGUCGAUCAGAUGCCCGGCGCGUUCGAGCGCGCGGGCGGCG